UGGGAUAGCGGAUGUAAUUCAGAGUGCCAGUUCCUACUAUUGGUUUUAAAGGUUUGUUCAGGGAUUUGUCAAGCAUUUAUAUUUACAUUCGAUAUAGUUGGUCUUCUGGAGAAACUUGAUGUAAUCAGUUACAAAGCUGCAUGUAAGAGUAGUUACAGUUACAACAGAUGGAAGAGAAACGGGACAAGAGAAUAGGCAAAUCAGGCCAUUUAUGGCUAAGUGCUCGACGAAAGAAAAGAAAAGCAACGGCUGCUAUCGCAUACCAGCAAGAGAGAAAAAAAAGAAGACUUGAAGAAAUCUCCACAUUUCCAGAGGAGGUAACGUGGACGCUAACGAGUUCGGGAAACGAGAACGAUGAUUCGUCAGCACCUGGUACAAGUCAGACAGAAAGCGGAAUUUUCAACUUGAUAACUCAAAAAGAGCUAAUGCAUGAAGCUGCUGCUAGCCAGCAUACAGAAGAGAAUCUUGGUCAACAUAAUCAUGCAGAUUUGGAACACGAAUGUGACGUUUCCGAAGAUGAAGUACUUUCUACAAAGCUGAAAACUAUGAGUAAAAACAUACCUGAAGUAGAAGAGGUACUACAGGAAGAUGGGAUACACACGAAGACAUACGCAGUACUGAAACAGCUGUCUCCAAUAUUUGUGAACUCUUUGGAAGCUCAGGAUUAUGAAACCAACACAGAAAAUUUGCACUCUCUGGACCACCUAUCCGUGACUUCAAUCACUUCACAUGGACAGGUAAAUGUUUUAACUUUGCUGGUAAUAUGUACUACUAUAUCCAACCAUCGCAAGUAUAACUUUGUUCUCGAGAAAUAG
Molecule: long non-coding RNA, 815 nt
Organism: Bacillus rossius redtenbacheri
Lineage: Eukaryota; Metazoa; Arthropoda; Insecta; Phasmatodea; Bacillidae
Exons: 4
Source: RefSeq, a predicted model, not a curated record